This 1669-nucleotide unclassified non-coding RNA is filed under the name uncultured fungus. Its description in RNAcentral is "sequence contains 18S rRNA gene, ITS1, 5.8S rRNA gene, ITS2, 28S rRNA gene". The stretch from base 559 to 1669 matches the Rfam family "Eukaryotic large subunit ribosomal RNA", at positions 1 to 961 of the family's 3401-position model. Lineage: Eukaryota; Fungi. The record is from RNAcentral.
AGCAGGAUCAUUCUUGGAAGGAAUACUUGUAUUUCUUUCGAUUUAUAUCUAUAUGGAUAACUGGUCGGGAAUCCUCCUCAGACAGCGGCAGCAUAAAACCUGCUUGCUUGGUCUCCUUCUCAUUGGUCCUGUGUCUCGCUUCGGCUUGAGUAUCAGGCUGGUGGGCGGUUGGGUAACACAGAGCGCGGAGGAUGUUGCUCUCCAACCGUGUGAUACAACGCUCAACGAUGGAUAUCUCGGCUUGGUGAUCGAUGAAGGACGCAGCAAAGUGCGACAAGUGUCAUGACUUGCAGAUACCCGAGAGCUGACAAAUUUCUGAAUGCAAAUUGCAGCCAAGUUAACCUGGCUAUACAAUGCAGAGAGUACUUCGCGUAUGCGCUUACUCUGGGGUUGAGCACAACUUUCGGGUUGUCACUUCUGGGACCUGCAUGAUUGAGCAUGUUGACAUUGGCACAUUCGUGUGUCAACAGUCCAAGCUUUCCCAUGUUAAAGUCAGAAAACCAUCGAGUUUUCCUGAAUAAUACGAGAAAAAGAGUUUAAUCUCUUACCUCUCACUUCUCACCUCUGCAUUGUAGGAGAACCCGCUGAACUUAAGCAUAUCAUUGAGCGGAGGACAAGAAAACAACUGUGAUUCCCUGAGUAACUGCGAGUGAAUAGGGAGGAGCCUAUGCUUGAAUUCUGUGUGGAUGGAACCGGAAGCACAGAAAUUGUAGUGCAAGGGUGUGAGAAGGCGCGAGCUAGUCGGAAGAAUCGCACAGGAACGUGCAACCAAUGAGGGCUAUCGUCCCGUACCCUCCGACGCAGCCGUACCAAUUUUUCGCUCCCCAAGAGUCGGGCAGUUUGAGAAUGCUGUCCAAAACCGCAGGUGUACUCCUGCGAAGGCUAAAUAUUUCACCAAGACCGAUAGCGAACAAGUAGUGUGAACGAAAGAUGAAAAGUACUUUGAAAAGAGAGUGAAAAGUCCUUGACAUUGUUGGGCGCAAAGGGUAUGAGACCCAUUGUAUGCUUUUGCUGUUCAGCGAGGGCUGUCAACGCGGGUUUCCGGCUUCUGCAGGUGGGUGUCUGCAUCUUCGUUUCGGCGUUGAUUGAGACCUCGUUGUUGCAGAAAGUUGGAGACUUGGCAGAAUCACUUGGCCGACGCGGUUUGAUUUUGAUCGUGCUUGUGCUGUCGAAGCAUCUUCUUUCGUGGGGGGUCUUCACGGUGCACUCAUUGUCACCAGGCUGCGUCGAGCCAGGGAAUCGUUGACCAUUUAAUGGUCUCUUACCACCCGUCUUGCGGUGCACUCAUUGUCACCAGGCUGCGUCGAGCCAGGGAAUCGUUGACCAUUUAAUGGUCUCUUACCACCCGUCUUGAAACACGGACCAAGGAGUCUACCGAAUGUGCGAGUGUUAUGGUGAUUGAAACCAAACGACGCACAAUGAAAGUAAUGCUUGUGAACCGCGGCGGAGAUCGUCGUUGGUGCAACAAGGCUCGGUACUUAUCAGAAGAAAGGGAUCUGAAGUCGAGCACAUUCGCUGGGACCCGAAAGAUAGCGAGCUUUUCCUGGGCCGAAGGAAGCCAGGGGAAACCUUGGUGGACGUUCGAAUGCAGUGCUGACGUGCAAAUCGCUUGUCAGAUCUGGGUAAAGGGGCGAAAGACUCAUCGAGCUAUCUAGUAGCUGGUUCCCUC